CGGACUGGCCCAGGGAGGUCGGCAACGACCACCCAGGGCCGGAAAGUUCGUCAAACUUGGUCAUUUAGAGGAAGUAAAAGUCGUAACAAGGUCUCCGUAGGUGAACCUGCGGAGGGAUCAUUACCGAGCGAGGGCCUCUCUGGCCCGACCUCUCAACCCCAUGUUGCCCGACACUGUUGCCUCGGGGGCGACCCGGCCCUUCUGGCGCCGGGGCCUCCGGUGGACCGUCAAACACUGCAUCUGUGUGUCCGAGUCAGAUGAUAAAUCAAUCAAAACUUUCAACAACGGAUCUCUUGGUUCUGGCAUCGAUGAAGAACGCAGCGAAAUGCGAUAAGUAAUGUGAAUUGCAGAAUUCAGUGAAUCAUCGAAUCUUUGAACGCAUCUUGCGCUCCUUGGUACUCCGAGGAGCAUGCCUGUUUGAGUGUCGUGAAAUACUCUCAGUUUCAAUCUUUUUGUUUUGAAACUGGAUUUGAAUGCUGUCGUGACACGACUCAUUCUAAAUGUAUUAGCGGUCUGCCCUUGAUCACACAAUGUGAUAAUUCAUUAAAGCAUUGUUAUUGUUCGAGUGGCGACGGCUUCAAACCGUCCGAAAGGACAACGUGAUCUCAUUUGACCUCAAAUCAGGUAGGACUACCCGCUGAACUUAAGCAUAUCAAUAAGCGGAGGAAAAGAAACUAACAAGGAUUCCCCUAGUAACGGCGAGUGAAGAGGGAAAAGCUCAAAUUUGAAAUCUGGCGGUCU
This 741-nucleotide ribosomal RNA is filed under the name uncultured Dothideomycetes. Its description in RNAcentral is "eukaryotic LSU rRNA". The stretch from base 274 to 427 matches the Rfam family "5.8S ribosomal RNA". Lineage: Eukaryota; Fungi; Ascomycota; Dothideomycetes. The record is from RNAcentral.